GUCCUCGUAGCUUAAACAAAGCAUAGCGCUGAAGACGCUAAGAUGGUCGACACAUUUUUUCCCCGAGGAC
This 70-nucleotide transfer RNA is filed under the name Phalacrocorax brasilianus (Neotropic cormorant). RNAcentral's name for it is "Nannopterum brasilianus (Neotropic cormorant) tRNA-Phe". The record is from RNAcentral. Lineage: Eukaryota; Metazoa; Chordata; Aves; Suliformes; Phalacrocoracidae.